UUUUUUUUUUCUUUCUUUUUGUAAAAUAUAGUUGACUAAAAUGCUUUAGUCUCUUCAUGACCAAGCUAUGUGCUUGUUUUUACAUGCUACUCUUUCUUUGGAUGUUAGCUCAGCCCAGAGCAACUAGGUCAUUUAUGUAAGAAAAAGGGCAGCGACUAGGCCAUUAAGAAGGCAUAAACUGUUAAGCUGUUGCUUCAGCACAUAGCUGCAUCGGAACUUUAGAAGUCUGAAAUAAAUCAGCCAACUGUCAAUACCAAUCUUUAUGAUUUUACUUAUUUUAGUUAACACUGAAGGCAUUUUGUAUAGAACAGAACUUCCGUCAUGACAUGUACUACAGUGUGUAUACUUGCAUAGCGGUUUCUAAGUUUUAAAACAUUCUGUACUAAAGCAUUUUCUAGGUGACCAGAUGCAUUGCGUUGUAUUACUUUGUUAGCUUAAAUAACCUAUCCAUAUAGAACAGAUCAUUUAUGAUGAAUCCUAGUUCCUCUCAUGCAUCUGAAGCUCAUCCAACUGAUCAUGUGAAGGUUACACGCUACAAUCUAGACUCCCCACCUUCCAAUGCGUAUACCAUAUGACUUUCUACCAAGCACUCAUACAUUGCUUCGCGAUGGUUCAAAUCAUUGUAUUUACUAAUAAUUUUUUUUAUUUCACUAGAGUUUGCUUCCUCUUCAUUGUAAAUUCUUUUACUAAACAUUCAUUCUCCUUUUUCAGUAAAUUUUGUGUAAGGAAAGAGUUUUUGACAAGCCCAGAUGUGUUGAAAAAGCGGCUUAUAUUUGUUGGCAUUGCAAUGGUUAUCCUAUCACCCUGCCUUGUGAUAUUUCCAUUGGUUUACGUCAUUCUAAGGCAUGCUGAAGAAAUUUAUAAUCACCCCAGUACAGCAUCAUCUAGACGAUGGUCAAACUUAUCAAGGUGGAUCUUUAGGGAGUAUAACGAGGUAGCUGCAGCUGUAACAAAUUAUCUAAAUGAAUCUUUGGGCUCUCCAUUUUUCCCUUUCUUAAUUUCUGCUGCUAAUCAAUCUUAUAGGUAGUAUCUGCGAGUAUUGUUUUACUAAUCUAAAAGUGAUUACAAAAUUGCAGGUUGAUCACUUCUUCAGACACAGAAUGAACAACAGUGCUGUUCAUUCUUUAAAUUACUUGAAGCAAUUUCCAACCCCACUGGUUUCCAUCAUGGCUAAAUUUGUAUCUUUUGUUUCUGGUGGCUUGGCUGGUGCUCUAAUAAUCAUUGGAUUUGUGGGUGAAUCUAUUCUUGAAGGACAUGUAAGCCCUAUUUUUUUAUUGUUUCUUUGGCUAUAAUGCAAAUAUUUGCUAUAAAUCACUUCAAGAUGCAAAUACCUCCUUGGUCCUUUCUAUUAGAAUAGUUGUCUUACUUUAUAGGAUCAGUGUUCCAUAUAGUUGGCCGCCAUAGGAAGUAGAUGGUAGUGUGGGAGGGUUUGACGACAUAUUAGGUGAACACAUUUGAUCCAGUGGACUUGAGUGCAUAGUUUUAACCAUCGUCACCCCCAUCUUUUCAUGCUGCCAACAAGUGCCAAACACUUGAGGUCACAAAUUGCAUCAUGUUAGAAUUAUGCAUAUGGAUUAGAUCUAUGCGUGUGGUACUGUGGUAAAUGCAAUUAUUUUAUGACAUAUUUGCAACUUGACAUAACUUCUAGGGAUCUCUGCAACUUGAUGUGACUUGUAGGGGGAUAUUAGCAUUAGCAUUUUCUUUCGUAUUUAUGUAGUACAUGUAUCUUAUUCACUUUGUAAAAUCUUAUAUGUUAUGCCUGUAGAUUUUUGGAAGAAAUCUUCUCUGGUACACUAUUGUUUUUGGAACAAUAGCAGCUAUAAGUCGGAAAGUAGUGGCUGAUGAGCUUCAAGUUAUUGACCCAGAAGGGGCCAUGUGCCUCGCUGUUCACCAAACACAUUACAUGCCAAAGCGGUGGCGUGGUAAAGAGAACAGCGAACUUGUCCGAAGAGAAUUUGAGACAUUAUUUCAGGUAACUAAUUGACCUCUAGUUACAGUUCAUUUAAGAUAGCUUAGCUGGUUCAGAAUUGUUUGUGUGCCAUAUAUUUUGCCAACUGGCCAAGGUAUUAAAGAUUUUCGCAUGCAAGCCAUACCAUCUAGCUUUAAAAUGAGUGUUCCAAACUUCCAGUCCAUCCAUUUUUGCUGUAUUCAUUGACCCCAUUUGAAAUUCCUCAUGCCAUUGCAGUACUAAAAGAAAUAUUCUCAAUUCCUUUUCUACUACCUCCAUUCAAUUUUGUAAUGCAUAUUUUUAUUGGAAAAGUCAAACUUUACAACUUUUUACCAAUGAUUAUUCUAAUUAUAUGGAAGUUCAGUGUCCAAAAGUUAGAAGACUAGAUUCGUUCUUCAAAGUUCUUUCGUUGUAAUGUUGAUUUGGUAAUAAGUGACUAUAAAGAGAUAUUGACGGUCAAGAUAUCCUAAAGAUUUUCUACCAUUCUAAACUUGAGCACUACUUGGGGGAAAUGGUGGUUUGGAUCUAUGCGAGAAACUGUUUUGGGAAGCUAUGUAGAUUCAUAGAAAUCUGUCUUGCAUAGUUGCAUUAAGAUCUUGGUUCUACUUAUACAGUUUAUGAUGGGGUAUAAGCCAAUCAGCUUUGUGGUUUGCUGCUUCAAUUAUAUGGCAAUAAGAAUUGACUUGACAAUCUGUGUGUGCAGUACACUAUAAUUAUGCUACUUGAAGAGAUGGCCUCCAUUUUCAUCACUCCUUACUUGCUUAUUUUUGAGGUACCAAAGGUAAUGUUCUGACUACUCAACAUUGAUUUUCAUGUCAUCCAAGUUUAUUGACAGUUCUGAAUUCUUAUGAUGCACAGCGUGUUGAUGACAUUCUGCGCUUCAUCUCAGACUUCACAAUUUAUGUAGACGGAGUGGGAGAUGUAUGCAGGUCUUUGCUUCUUUUUCUUCUGUUACUUUCUUAGCGCUCAUUUUUUGCUUGAUCUUUGCAAUACUUAACACAUUUAUUUCUCUAUGUUUACAACAGUCUAAGCAUGUUUGACUUCAAAAGACAUGGAAAUAGAAACUAUGGGUCGCCGUUCAAUGGUCUUAAAGGUCUCAGGAGCUCCCAAGGGAAGAUGGAGAAAUCAUUCUUAAGGUACAUGCAAUUUCAAGUAUUUCUUUUACUUAUUUACUAGGCAUUUAGUGUGGUUUAUCACAAGUGCUGUAAAGGAUUGAUUAGAUGAAUUGUAGUACUUCAAUAGUUGAUUGCUCUGAAGUUUGUGGCCAGCUUGCCUGGGCUAGGCAGCACCCCAGGCAUCCGAUUUUGAGAGCACCUGGGCUGGAUGGUGCUGUCUUGUCUGGGAAGCUAGCCGGGGCAGCAACCCAACAGGUGUACUUCUACUGUAGUGUAGUUGAAUAUGAUGCUGGCAAAUUUAUGUACCAUUUGAGUGCCUUAGAUUACUUAGAUAGUUUGUCCCUGCAAAACGUGUACCAUCUAAAAUGGCACCAAUCAGCAUAUGGCCCUGUUUGGAAACAGGGGUUUCAGUAAGUCAAUAAUUUGGAUUUACCCUACCCCUCUUCCAAACAGGCCUUAAUAUGGUGAUUUGGUGGAAAAUGUUGCCUAGGCAAAUGAAAAUAUCCAGUAUUUCUAAUUUUAAUCGAUUGAAGGUACUUGUAUAUGAAGGCUUGCUUUUAUCCUAAGUUUGGACAAGAGCAGUACCCUUUCUACUGUCACACCUUUUGUCGACUGCCCUGUUGACACUAUAGAUGUAGCAGAAUAUAGGCACUCACAAUCUUUUAGUACUGAUUAGAAGAUAUUCCAGGUAAGCAUCAUUUAGCUUCGCCUGUAUAGAUGUAGGUCAGUAGUCUUAUAAAAGUAGUUCGAGAAAAAAAAAGUAGUCUUAUAAAGCACUGAGUAACAGCUUUAGCGAGCACCAUUCUAUUAAGUCAACUCUGCAUAUUGUACACUUCGAUCACAUGCCUUGGUUUCGAUGCCUCUAUAGAGGCCUGUACUUUGCAAUGCCCCUCCCCCUCCCCCUCUUCUUCCCUCCUGUUCUUUGGGAGUUCAAGAUCAGAAUAGGUUACCUGUCCUCAACUUUUCAAAGUUCAAACCAGAUUUGUUGUCAUUGCAAAACCAUGAGCAGCAAUAUGAAGACUAAUUUUGUUACAUGAUUGUUUUCAGUUUUCAGAGUGUCUAUCCAUCAUGGGAGCCAAAUGCUGAUGGCAAACAGUUCUUAUCUAACCUCCAAAAGUUCAAAGAAAAGCAAAUACGUCAACAAGCGCUUGCACAAUACCAAGCAAUGGAAGCUUCAGGCUUUGUGGCAGGCACUAGAGGUCAAAGGGAUGAUACCUUCCAACAACUCAAUAGUGAUAUUCAUGGCCAUGCUGAGACCACUUUGCCUCCUGUUUAUAACUUGAGCCCCUUGGGAUUGCUCGACACGGACCAAAGAACUCAUCCAUAUAUCCUGGACUGGUAUUACGUGUGUCAUCCACCACACCAAGAUAGAGCUGAGGCCCCCCAAUUUGAACAAGCAUUCCCUGAGACUGGUGUGAUCACAAGUCCACCAGCAAGGGAAACGUCUGAAAUUGAAGAAGUUGGGGACUGGGACUACGAGUUGUACGAAAGGGUUCAAAGUCAUCUGGGGGCAUCCACAUCAAGUGCUUUGUUCCGGAACACUCCAGUGAAGCACCAUGGUACAGAAGAUAAGACAAACAGCAAUUGGUGGGCACAUGCCCCUGCAUAUCCUUCUGGUCCCCAGGGCAGCUUCAUCGAGCCUCCGGAAUUUGGAAAUCGAUACAUGACAGAUCCUCAUUCCAGUAAUCACAGUGGCGAUACAUCAGAGGGAAGCAUGGAGGAUCUAGAGCAGAGCAAUCGCAGAAGCAGCAGCGUGUGGAGGAGCCCGCAAGCUUUGUCCAAGACAAGAUAUAUGGACGACUCUGACAUUGAGGAAGGGCUAAGCCUGCAUUUUGCUGAUGUCCAUCAGAAGGAUGAAGAUGAUAGACACCUGGUCAUGGAUCAUCAAGAUCCCGCGCCAGCUGGUCUUCCAGUAAGAAUAAUACCUAGAAGCAGUGACCCUGUGUAAGCUGGUUAAACUCAACAGGACUAGUUGAUGCAUGUUAACGGUUGUAAUUUGUCGUUUGAACCACUUCAGAGUCAAAUGGUGCGUCUCGCCCAUAAACUGGCAAAACAGCCACAGAUUCUUUUGUACAGGUCAGUAACCUCUGUGUAUAUAUAUUAUAUAGCCUCCUGCUCAGACCAGGGCGGGUAAGAUAGAAACAUUCUUUUACAAGUUGGAAGGGUGCUUGGUUGCUGCAAUGCAACACAAGUGCUUUAAAGUUCAUGACUUGGUUUAGGUCUUGCAAGUUGCAGCAUUGAAAUGCAGAACCUGAAUAAGCUAGCAAUUGUCCGUUUUUUCGUGGCGUGGCUUCUAGUUCAUCGUAGAUCUACAGUUAUGCAAACGCGGACGCCGGGGCUGAUCAGCUGCAGAUCCGGUGGGAUCCGUUGCCGGAAUCCUGUUGCCCUAGGGAGUUCGGCAGCAGGAUGAGCGAAGCAAUUCCUGGGCGCCUCUGUCAUUCUGCCAUGAAGUUUGCUGUUUUAGGGCACAGGAAGUCGUUGGCGCGGUGAUUCUGCUCUCUUAGAGCCAGACAAGGAGCUUCCAGCUUUAGCUUUCUUGUCGCUCUCGAGAUCGUUGUCCUUACAAAGAGGCCGUUGGUAGGUCUGAAAGUAGGUUUCGUACGCACGCAACAAGGUCGAUCCCAAACUCUUGCAGCUAUAGGAGCAGGCAGGCUGGAGCAGCAGAGCUCUGGAAUUCCAGGGCAGACCGGCGACACGUCACACGAACGGAAGGUGACCCUGAUCAGCGUAUUGCCACCAGUUAAUGGUAACUGCUCCAUUGUAGUAGGUCUCCAAACACACAAUCUGGAGAGAGAAAAAAAUGGUACAACGUUGAUUUAAAUAAUAAAGUUUCAUUCACUGUAAGUGUAAGGAAUGAUGAUGUGCAAAAUAAAAGCUCUUUUGUGUCAGAGGAAUCAUCUCAAUUUUGAAAACCACUAAUCGCAAUUCAGGAAACCGUGCUCGUUGCAGCCAGAUCCAGCCAUACUGAAGAUCCCCUAUUUCCGUACCGCUGGCUGUAGUGGUUGCCAAGGACCACUCCAGAGCGUCCUUUCGCCCUGCUGUCAACUUAGCGUCCCAUUCUCACACAGGAUGGUUUCCCGCACGUUUUGCUCCCCAAUCCCCGUGGACUCCACCACAACCACCCGUCGUUUUCGCGGAUUCAAACCGGCAACGAACGCAACGGCCCAUCCCAAACACACUCGAUCCGACCUCAUCUCUCCCCACGCACCAACGGGAGAAGAGGGAGGAGUCCGCGGCGAGAUGGCGGAAAUAGGAAAAAAAAGGUUGGGCGGUCAUUUUCCCCGACCCGAGUUGAUCUACCGCACCGCAACUGCAGCUGCCCCCGAAAGCAAUGGCGAUCCGCGGCCACAGGCGUCUCGUACCAGGUUUGGUCCGAUCCGCGGCAGUUGGGCGGUAGGUCAGCGGUAGUUGGGAGACGGGCUCAGGGCUCUUCUCGUUUCUUGCCGCCUCCGUUCGGCCGUUCGGCGUGCAUGAGCAUGACAUGACCCGGUUAAACUAGGCGUCGGUCCUUCCGUCGUCACAACUCACAAGGCAACCACAGCCUCAUCAGGAGCCCACCAGGUCCUGGAAACCCUCGACAGCCAGCCGAGAGGAGGAGGUCGGCGAAAGCUCAGCGAGCUCCCGUGAAAGCGAGGCGCCGGCCAGUGUAUUACGCGCCGCUGCAUGCGUGAAUAUUUUUCCUGGUUUCGUAUCGAGGGGACAAGACAGCCAGCCGUGAGCACAUAUGUCACUGGAGGGAGCCAGGGAUCAUUGGUCUUCGGCCUUGUUUACUUCCUCCAAAAACCCAAAAUUUUUCAAGAUUUCUCGUCACAUCGAAUCUUUAGACGUAUGCAUGGAGUAUUAAAUAUAGCUGAAAAUAAAGACUAAUUACACAGUUUGGUCGAAAUUGACAAGACGAAUCUUUUAAGCCUAGUUAGUCUAUGAUUGGACAAUAAUUACCAUAAACAAACGAAAAAACUACAGUGUAACAAAAUGUUUUGGUUGAGGAACUAAACACGGCCUUAGCCAGUUUUCAAUGUAGCUGUAGGAAGUCAAAUGGUUGUGUUUUCAGCUGACAGCGAGACGGUGUCGGUAAAUAGGUUGAAAAAUAGUGUGUCCGCGAGGAAACUUGUACUCGAAUUGAUGAUUUUGUGUGUGGGCCAGUGGACGUUUAUAUGGAGGGCUUUUUGACGAGGGAUGUUGGUUCGCUGAAAGUUCAAAUGAAUUUUGUCAGAUCAGCCGUCGUACCCCGUCGAUUAUUCCGUUGUAUGAUCUCAGAUUUGACCUUUUGAUGUGAAUGGGUAAAGUUUUGUAUUGUUCCCAUUCCGCUUGUUUGGCCAGAUGGCACCAUCUUGAGAGUUGAGUGAAUCAAGUUCACAGUUUCACAUGAGAUCCACUUUUGGCCUUGCGAAAUAAGUACUCGGUUUCACUCUAACUGGUUUAAGAUUCAGGGUAAUUUCCUUCCGAACCAGAUACUGACCCACAGUAUGCUUUCUUUUUCAUUGCAGUACCACGACACACAGAUUCAGGAUGUUGGUAUAAGUUAUAACGAGGCUUGUUUAUUUAUAGUAAUAAUCUCUCACUGGUCGGCUCUGCUUCAUUAAAAAAAACUCGAGAUCUCGGAGCAGAGCUUUCCUAUGUCACCAUACCACAAGGAAAAUUUUACUGAAUGGUCAAUAUUCAGUUACCGCCAUAUAGGGUACUGACGACAUACUUAGAACUCGACAUGGAUAUAUUAUAUUUCUUCCAUCCAUCUAUUUUUAUGUAAAAAAGUUAGAAUGAUAGAUAAAUGGCAUGGCAAUGUGGCAUGACCCACCAGAGAGGUCCAUUAAGCUCCAAGCUGUUGCCGACCAGCAACUUUUAAAACCUUCCAUCUCCACUUGCUACUAUGUACACGUGGCAACUAAAACCUAGAAACGGCAAAUUAAAAAUCCUACUCCAUUUACAUCCUAACCCACGCACCAUCCCAUAUUUACACAAGGAUCCAUCCCAUCGAGCAAGCACGUGCCCCCCCCUUGAUGGCGUCCUCACGAGCAGGAUCUUAUGAGGCCGAGGCUGGCCAGGUUCUUCUUCACGAGGCUCCCGAGCGAGAAGAUCCCCGCACCGCCGCCGCCGCGGCCCGCGUCGCCCUCCGUCGAGCACAGGCGCGGCCACCGCUCCUCGUCCACCCGGAGGCUCUCCGUGCCGAUCCUCUGGAUCACCUCGUCGAUGGUCUUGGGGUCCGCGGGCCGGCCGGCCACGUCGGUGACGUGGAACACGUUCAUGGCCUUGUCGCCCCUGGUGGUGAUCUCGGCGUGCGUGACCGAGAGGCUGUUCUCCCGGAACACGCGCGUGACGUAGGCGAGCAGCCCGCGGCGGUCGGUGAUGCGCAGCUCCAGCCUCACGCCCUGCGCACAGAGGAUCGCUCAGUCUGGCGUUAGAGAAUACGAGUAGACAGAGAGGUGGUGCGGCUGGGAUUUCGGCCGAACACAUGGCGGUGAAGUGGAAAGUUGGGCAGGGAACGAAAGAGACGGUUGCGCGCUUGGGACUUGGGAGAGUGAAGAAGAAGAAGGUGUGUGUGUGUGUGUGUGUGUGUGUGUUGGGGGGGGGGGGGGGGGGGGGGGGAUCUGGUGUCGCGUGCUUUUGCUGCGGUGGCGUGGCAUGGAGGGAAAGGAAGGGAGAUAUUCAGCGAUCACGCACCUCGGAUGCGCGCCUCUCGAUGGCCGCUUGCAAGCAUUGGAUCACGCGCCGCCUCUCGGCCGCCGAGCUAAUUGGCCGCCCGUCCAACCGCCUGAUGUAGAACUCCUGCACCCAAGCCAUGUCAGCUUUAGCUCAGUUAAUAAGACCGUUGUAACAACAGGCGUGCAUAGGUAGUGUCUGAAUUCACCGCAGCAGCAAUUCAAUGAGUUUGGUAUUUGUAGGAUAUGCGUGCUUAGUACUAUAAAUAAAUUAUGCGGUCGUGAUUAUUCUGCGGUACAAUUUCGAAGCAGAAUAAUCUAGUAAUGCAAAUGAAACUAAAACUAAACCUUCAGUUUUAAAAUGACAAGUCCAGCAAAUUCAGUAAAAGGGAAUUUUCAUUUUCAUGAUAAAAAGUCGGGUUAACUUCAAGCAUACACACAAGAAUCACAAUCAAAGCAACCAAAAGGUAAAAGUGGAGUAAAAGUGAGAGAAAAAAUUGACAGAAAGGUCCGACGCGCCUAACGUAGCCAGUUACUAUGGAAACAUCGAGAUUCCUGGCAGGAAUUCCAACUGCAAGAACUCGUGAUGGCCGGGAAUUCAGUAAUGGCGGCCCUAGUUCAGCGCGACAAAAAUCAAGGUAGCACCGACCUAUUUUCUCCGGGAGGAGAAAAAACAUCUUUGGGGAUCAACCCAUCGAGAAAGAAAGAAACGCCUAGAAGGCUCACCUGCUGGGCGUGAUCGCCGUCCGUAUCGAACGUGCCGUGGUACACCACGUAAUCCAAGUCCGUCAAGGUGCAGACGACGUCGAAGAGCAGCUUGGGCCGGUCACGGCAGCUGACGGUGACCACCGAGUACCCUCUCUCCCCCCAAUCCUGCACGGCGACCGCCGUCGCGUCCGCCUGGUCGGCGCGGCACUCCGCCUCCCCGUCCUCGUUGAGAAGCUGGUGGAGCCUCCGGUCCAUGUUGACGGCCGCGGCGUCUUCCCGGACCAUCCUGGCGCCGAGCGCGCCGCCGCGGAGGACGUGCCUUAGCCUGGACUCGACGCGCCUGACCCGCGCCGCGUCGUCGAUGGGCGCGCCCGUCUCCACGUCGCGCACGAACACGAGGGCCGCGACGCGGCCGCCGUGCGUCCACGCCCUGGCGUCGGCGAUGUCGCAGCGGAGGUCGUGCAGCACGGCGAAGACCUCGGAGAGGAGGCCCGGGCGGUCGGCACCGACGAGCUCGAGCAGGGUGGGCAUCGCGGGCCCAGCCCCAUUCCCCACGGCGGCGGCGGGCGGUGUGCGGGGCGGCAAUGCGUCCGCGGUGAGCGAGGACUCGAGGCGCGCCAGCAGGGCGUCGGCGUCGGCCACCUUGCGUCCCGAGGCGUCGGUGACGUGGAAGACGUCCAUGAACCAGCGGCCGUCGUCGGAGGAGAUGUAGCCUUUGCGGACGCAGACGCCGUGGUCGGACAGAGCCGCCACCGCCUCGAGCAGCACGCCGUGCUUCCUCGCGCUGUGCACCUGCACCAGCGUCGCCGUCGCGCACACGCCGUUGUCCACCACCACCCUGCGCCAUCCAUCGCCGACCGAUCACCGACUGCUCUUUCCAUGGAAGGAAAGAUCCAUCCAAGUCCAAGAACGAGAAACCGCAGAGAAAAAAGAGACGAAAUUGCCCCCCUCCCCACCCCACCUUCCCUUACCUCGGGGUGUUCAUGUGGCGCACGAAGAGCUCGUACACCUCGGAGGGAUGGUACCGCUCCAUCGCCGCCGGGAAUCCUUCUCCUGGCCUUCGGCCUCUCCUCCUCUGCUCCGCUUCAGUUUCUCUCGACGCGGCGACGGUUUCCCUUUGGCGCGGGGACGUGGGUGCGUGCGUUUCUUUCCUCCUAGGCCGGGCAGGGCAGGGAGGCGGAGAUUUCGGUUCGGUCGGAGGGAUCGUGGAUUUGGUUGGGACUUGGGAGCGUCGCGGCGGUUCAAAAUUGGGUGCCGGGACGGUGGGUUUUCGCUCUGGUCUGGGCUGGCUGCCGCUUGCCGCCGAGCUGUGGCCUCUCCGCCUGUGUCUGUGUCUGUGUGUGUGGGGAUCGCCGGGGUUGUCUCGGUCAGCGUCCGUCUAAAAUGGGCGCGCGAGACCGGCGAUUUCACGCAACCCUUGCCACCGAUUGGUGGAGGGGGCGGGGUCUGGAGUCAAACGGCGGUCGCGGGCGAGGACCGGGCAAACGGAAUGGUAUGUGGUUGGGCUGCUGGGGUUGGACCGAACGGGUCCUGCUGCGAAAAUUUUUAUGUUUUUGCCCCCCACUACUACUAGUACCGGUAGGAGGCUACUACACAUGAGAAAGGGAGACGCUGCCCGGCUGCCGUGUGGAAAAAGCUUCAGGGAUCCGGUGGGAAAGUGACGAGUCAAGUGGCGUUGUCGUGGGAAGGGAGAGCGGGGGAUCGCCGCCCUCUGGCCCAUGCGUGGUUGCCAGCAGGCGCCUGGCAGGCAGCCUGGUGCCACGCCCACGCGCGGCGCGGAGGAGACCCCCCUUUUUCCGAUUCUUUCGUGCGUGCGUCUGGAUGCACGGGUACGUACACAGUAGUACUCACCAUUUGCCAAGCAGGCAAGCACUCACAACCCCUUGGCGCAGUGUAUUCAAACUAGUUUUAGCAUCGCUGUUGUCCGUUCGCCAUGGCUUUCCAUUCCCGCGAGAAGAUACGAUCGGUGUAUUGUAAUGUAAUGUAACGCGUUCUAUACUUUGGAAACCUGGUUCGGUGUGAUCCCGGGGACCGGGGUACGGAGGGAAGCUACGGCCUUGGCGAGCCUUGAUAGCACCGACCGGGAUCAACCACCGAGAAUGGCAGCACCACGCGCACGCCGGGCUGGAGCUCGUCGACACCUGACACAGCCCACACACACACACACAGCUUGCCCGCGCGCACGUACUCCGUCCGUCCGUAGGCAAAAAGCAUCCAUGGUCUGAUAUGUGCUGCUGGCCCGCUUCCACCGAACGGUGGUCCCGAGCAGGCAGGCAUCUCCACAUCUGCGUCUGUUCACACGACUCCAGUGGCUGGCUGAUGGGCGAUGGAUGGCCCAGUGCCACCGCGCGUUCCUUCCCCUGUUGCUUGCCGUCCAAGCCAACCAUUACCUGGAAUAUGCAGGACAAGUUCCUCUUUUUCCUUGGACCUGUCACCCGGAUUUCACUCGGUCAGAGAAAAUCGUCAGCGUGUUAGCACAUUAGAAAAGACUAAACGUGUCAUGAAUUCCAAGGAUAAAGAGAGUACUACUGCCCGUGGUCACCAUGCAAAUUAAAGAACCCAUCCGAAGGAUACGGGGACGGACUCCUCUCCAUCAUCACAGGUUCUUUUCACGGGAAAGGAUGUGCCGUAGGCGUUGAUUAAUCCAGGUUAGUUGGUGUCUAAUCCAUCCAGCAACAGCAACAGUGCUUCUGCUGCGACAAAUUAACCUGCGAUAAACUAAAACUAGGCUUCCCAUCGAAUCGAUGUUGCUGGUCGAUCGAUCGCCCGUCGGAGUCUCAUAGGCUCCAUUUCUGUUUUCCCCAGCUGGAUUUGCUUGCAAGUGAAGCACACGUUGUUAUAUGGGGGCAGCAGCUGCAGGUAGGGAGAAAUCUGGAGAGAUAUCAUAAUUAGUGAAGCAAUUCAAGUAGCAGUACGCUAGUUAAUGAUGCCGUCCUUUCCGCACAUGCCCUUUUUCGCUUGCACAAUUUCCUCCCGUCCCUGCAGAUCCUACAUAUAUGGUUGCGACUUUUGGGCUUAUGAUGAUGAGGGACACCACACGUGAUCGUUAAUUCGUUCUUGCAAAGUUUACAGUACAUACACAUGCACAUCUAUAUAUGUUCCUACACAUACACAGCGGCUCCUUUCGUCAUUCCUUGAUACAGUAUAUGCGACUGCGAGGAUGGUGUGAACACUAAACGUACGUGCGUGUUAUUACAGCUGCGUGUACUCGCAGUGUGGGCGUUUUCUUGCCGAAAGUGGGCGUUCCAAGCUGAUAAGAUCGCCGUGGAGACGGAAAGCACGCCAUCUAUAGCUAGUGCCGCACCAAGCACCCGGCGUUAUUUAUUGGCCCAAUGACACAUACAGUACUGGUGCGAUAAGAAUGUGAUCCGUGCAUCAUUGUGGCUGCUAGGCUACUGGAUCACCAUGCAUGCAUGUGACGAUCCCGUAGCGAGACCCCUCCUACUCCGUUAUCGGCAACUUGCGCGUCGCUAGGCUCGGGACCGCAUGGCCACGUACAGGCGGCACACACGAGAAAACGACCGUAUCGCCGCCGCCCCGCGGCACCGGGGGAAACGCGCCCCCUGGAUAGCGGCCGCCGGGCGGCAGAUCGGUGCGGCCGGUACGUACGUGUUGCGUGCGCAGGCCCGACGCCAACACUUUCUUCGCGCUGUGGUGGGGCUGGUGGCAUCGGCGGUCUGGCACCGAGCGUUCCGGUGAUCACAAGUCACGGUGCGUUGCUUUUGCUGUUCAAACGCGACGUGCUCAAAACGGCUUGGUCCGCCCUGCCCUCGCCUUCCGAUCGAGGACAGGAACUCCGCAAUUGGUUUGGAGGCAUGGCAGGCCGGCCAUUGCUUGGAACUCGGGAACCCACGCCAUGUUACGGGCGACACCGCUGGCCGUCGCUCGCGUGCCACGUAGCCGCCGGCCGCUCCUAAAGGGCAUCCCUAGCGUUUCAAGUUCCUUUUGGCCUUUUUGGAGGGUUUAACGUGGCUCGUACACUGUGGCUACUUAAAAAAACGUGAGAAAAGCUCAUCCAACUUGGCUUCAUCAACUUAUCUUGUUUGGUACUCUGUCCCAAAGGAACAUCUAUAUUUAAAACACGUUCAGAUUUUUUAAGUUUGAUUAACUGUUACAGGGAAAGUUUUUUUUUUAAAAAAAAACUUUACAAAAAAGAAAGUAAUAGUAAAACUCAUACUAUGUCUAACUCCUAAUAAUAGUAAAAGUUUUAAGCAUUGUUUCAAAAAGAAAGUAAAAGUUUUAAGCAAUUACCGUAAUUUUGACGGCUUCGUACAGUAGAACCACGGGCGGCAGAAGGGGGCGCCGGUCUACGGCAUCAACCGAGAUGAACGUCCGCGACGUGCAGCGCGUGGCGCUACCCCAUUGGCCAUCGCGGUGACGUGGUGCGCCCUUGGGCCGCGGGUCCGGACCGGCUCCUCCUGGGGCAGCGCGCCCUCGCGUACAGUAUGUGCGCCGCUCGGCCGGCUCCAAGGAAAAAGGGGAAGCAACGCGCGCGAACGUGUCGAUGUCCCACGCAGUGUCACGUGAGAGUGUGAGACGCCGCCAGAGGCGCGGCAUGUGCCGAGGCGCCAGCGACGCGGCGGGGCCAUGUGGUACCGGUCUCGGGGCCGGGGAACCGUGAGCCGUGAGCGUGAGAACGGGCAGGCAAUAGUGGUAAAAAUGUAUUUAUUAUUCUAAAUUGAUAUUUGGAGAGGUGCUAAACUUAAUAAUAGUAAAAAGUUAUAUAUCCUGUCCACCAUAACUACGAAUUCGAUAUAAAUAUACCAUAUUUGUCUUGGUAGCAGUCCACAUCAGCUAGCCAGCAUAGAGAGUGAAGGGAAAAAGACAUCCCCGCCCCUGGCGUUUUGCUCUUCCUUUCUCUAAGCUUAGGACGCAACACUGCAGUGUGUUUUUUUAUAUUUUCAGCAAACACAAGAUCAGAUAAAUGAUCGCACAUAUAUUGAAUCUUGUGUUUGCUGAAUAUUAUAUGUGAAUAUUAUCAGUUAAAUGAUUGCACAAUCAGCACUGUUGUGGUGAAUAUUAUAUGUGAUUAUUUAUAUGUGUUAAUUUAUCCAUUAUGUAUGAUCAUUUAUCUGAUCUUGUGUUUGCUGAAAAUAUAAAAAAAACAUACUGCAAUGCUGAUUGUGUGCGUCCUGAGCUGAAAGAAAGGGAGAGCAAGGCACCAGAGGCAAAGAGGUCUUUUUCCCUUCACCCUCCAUACUGGCCAGCUGAUGUGGACUGUCACCAAGGCAAAUAUGGUAUAUUUGUAUUAAAUUCGUGAUUCUAGUGAUAAAAAUGUAUUUACCAUUCUAAAAUUGGUAUCUGAAGAGGUGCUAAAUUUAAUAAUAAUAGUAAAAUGUUAUAUAUCCCGAUACCGACGGGCGAGUGCCGAGGGCUUCGUUAGGCCUCUAGAAACCGAGGAGAUCGCCGAUGGAUCACACCGUUCACACGCGGGGCGGGGGGAAACCAACCACGGCCGAGAACGCUGGGCGGCUGUCGUCGUCGUCGUGCCGCUGCACGGCGCGGCGCGGCACCACGCGAGGCCGAGCGGGCGCGCAUGUGCCUCCGGCUCGCCAUCACCUCGCUCCAUCUCUGAUUUCUUUCCAUGUGCGCGUGUUUCGCCGGAUCGCGUUCGUGGAUUGAUUCAUUAAUUUUGUCGCCGAGAGCAUCGCCGUGUUUUUCGCCCCCCGCAAAUUCGUCUCCCGCGCAUCAUCAUCUGGAUGGAUUCUGCAGGGAGCGAACGAAAGCGAUAGUGCCGGUACGGUACUAGCGGCAUUUUAGUAUUUCUGAUUAAGGAACCUGAUGCGUGCUGGUUUAAUAAUGAUUCAUUGAUUCUGGAGAUAAUAAGCGCAAAUAAACAGGAUUCUCCUGCUUCGUCCACAAUCUUGGAGGACAGCGACACCCUCGUCCUUCCAUUCUUUGUUUUAAGCAAGCAAUAUCUUAACUGCGGUUUAGCACGAGGCCCCAUCCGCCGUGCUUGCUUACUUUCGGUUGCGUCGGUGAUGUCGGCCAGCUGGACGAACAAACAACCGCUUUUUUCAGACUUUAUUUGCUUUAUUAUUUAUUUUACCCGGCCUCGUGGUGAGAGAAUCCAGGUCGAUCACUGCGUGUAUACCUACUCGUCACAGCAGGGCGAAGUUGGUGGCUGUUCGUUCACCAACCUGUCGUCUCCGGCCGUUCCGUCCCUGUCGCUUGUUGCCACGGUCUCAUUCUCGUGCUGCAUGGCCUUGGCUCUCAUGCUCGCUCGCAUGCGUUUGGCGUUCGCGUUUUGGCACUGUUGCUUGACGUGCCGACGAGCAACCAAACCAUGCUGAGGGUGAGGUGUUAAGCAUCACAGAUUCCUAUCCUAUCCUACCUGCACAAAACUAGUACUAGUACUCCUAGAAUUCAGGUGGGUAAUGGAUUCAGGGGAAACGGAACUUUUGUGGAACAAAUUCUUUGGCGGUUAGAUUCGCAUUCCGUUCCGUUUCCGCGCGAUGCGAAUCCGAACGAUAAUGCAGAUAGGGGAGGGCAUCGUGGCGAGACGAGGGGUGUGACGAACACGACACGACGGCUGCCCGGCCGCUGGCGAGCUUGCAUCACGUUUUGGUUCGAGAUGCUCUGGCCACUUGGGACACCGGCCAGUGCACCUGGGGAGGAAUGUGCCUGCCUGUCCAUUCGAUGCUAUGCUUCCUCUGAAGAUGCAGCAGCAGCUCAGCUUGCUGCUGCCUGCGUGCACAGGUCCUUCCAGUCAGGCAGGCCUGAGCGAGUGAGCCUGCCUUUGUUCGUCAUUCCUCGAUGCAUCGCAUCAUGCAUCUUUUUAAGCUUUGUCAAGCGGUGUAAACGAGAUCAGAAUCCAUCAGAUCGAAAGUUUGAUGCAAAGCUGCGUAAGAUAGGCACAAGAAGGCAGGAGGCACCGGGUCGGCGCUCAUGGAUAUUUCGUUUUCGAGAACACGCACAAGAACUGUGUUCUUUUAUUGGUUAAGAUGAAAAUGGAGUUUACGAUGUGAGCCAAGCGAGUGGCGCGCACAUUUGCUGCUUGCAGAAUAUACGGCCCGCACCGUCCACCGAUGGCGAUGGAUGCAUGCGGUGUGUCGAUGGCUGUGCGUUGCUUCAGUCUCACCUCUGUAUGUAACUGUAACAAAGACCAGUGACGAACUUAUCCAGCACAACAGUUGAUACGCCGGCACAUCAAGCUGUAAUACUCUGCUCUCUGCUCAUUAGCUCUGCAGUCCAGGGUCCAGCCUCGUUAUCAGGAAACAGGUUGUCGAAUGCAUGGCCCAACUCGGAGACAUCUCAUCUCAGGCACAGGCUUAUCCAGCACAACAGUUCAUACGCCGGCACAUCAACCAUCAGACGUGAAAACCACCCAUGAUUUUCAGCAGACACAUAACGAUCGAGCGCGUCAUUUCGAAACAAGAUUAAGCAGUGCGUAAACAUACUACCGCCAAAGAGCUCCUCCAGGUGAGACAUUGAUAGCACGGAGCACGGCACCAGGAUCAUAUAUUCCCCGUCGCAGGAACGCACGGCACGGCCGCACAGGUCCGGCGGGGCGGGGCCCCGAGAGUGACGCGCGGCGGAUGAUGCAUUACAUGCAGAUGCAGCUCAUGCGGACGCCCGGGGUAUUCGUCUGAUCAAAACGGUGCCGCGCGUCGGCGCUAGCAGCCCAUUCCAGCAGCAUCAAGCGCCAUGCAGGGAUGCAGAUGAUCGGCGCGCGAGAGCAUGCGAUGCUUUGGAUCUUCAAACUGGCGCCAAGGGGCGUGUAUACUGUUCUCUUAAAUCUUCUGAUCCCCAAAACAUUUUUGUUUGGGCAGUUCGGAUCAAGCAAAUUUUUAUUUCAGAAGUUAAUCGCAAUUCAACUUCUAGCCUUCUUCAAGUGAAGAAAUUUAACUUCAACUCUGUUUCAAAGGUUCCUUUUUGGAAUAAUACUGACUGAAACUCUGAGCUGACUUGAAGCAACGCUAAGACGAGCUUUGCAACUUUAAAACGAGAACUUGAGGAGUGAGUAUUUAGGCCUACUGGUUCACUUAAAUUAGCUCUGAUUGCUGCAAGGUGAAGGAACUUGUACGACAAACGGUACAGCUUUUAGAUUGCCAAUGUCGAUACUGUAUUUAAGUGGAGUUGGGCAUUUCAUGCCAGUGCAGACCUUGGCCACUUUCUAUUUGGCUGCACACAUGCAAGAGCCAAGAGGGGUACUGCUGCAACCGGGGCACAACGUUAUCGAAGCAUAAAUACGAGAAUACAUGGUGGAUAUGUGCCUAUGUCGUAGAUAAUUAAUGAGUAUCAAGGUGAGAUUAUGGAGCUUUGAUUGGUUUCGUUCUACCGUGAUUUGGAAAAACAAGGUGUUGAGUUAGUAUGUCUUGUGCAACAUGUUUCUUAGCUCGUAGAUGUGCAAUUGUUAAUAAGUUGGUGAAAAUCUUUGAGCAGGGCACCUUCGAUUGAUUCUUGUGCUCAACCUUGGUGCUAUGAUCUCAAGGGAACAUGUUUAAGCUUUGCCACUUAGCUCGUCACGAAGGUGAUUCCUGGAUCGCGGCCGGCUUCAGGAGUUUGGCGCCACUGUUCGCGUUUGGCGCUUGACGUUGCACUGCUUUCUUAGUCGCACAUUUGUUUGCCACUUAGUACAAUCCUCUAAGCUCCACCGUCCAAGCCGGUGUCUUGUGUAAGUGUUCCCCUCGCUGUUGGCCCAUGGCAGCUCGCCGUCAAGCCACGCCGGACGUGUAAUUUGUAUCUAAACUCCCCUUAACGAAGCACGUGCAGUUCAUGCUUUCGUGAAAAAAAACUUUGCCCUUCAACUGAUUUUCUACUAGCACAUUGAAUUCUCUCUUUUGAGUUUUACAAGAAAACUCCAAUUUGAGAGAAAUUUGUGGUGAAGCUUUAAUUUAAUGUUUUUUUGAAAGGUUGUUUGGGAUUAUCUUCACAAUGAGUUAGUCAGGGUACGGUAUGGGACAAGUUUCAUAAUAUUUUUGAACUUAUUUGGAUCGAUUUUGGAGGGGGGGGGGGGGGGGGGGUUUCUUCAGACAACAACUAGCUGAAUCAAAACCAGUAGUCUGGUUUGGUGAACUAACUUAUUUUGAGAAGGUACUUCCUGGAAGUGAUCCUUACUCUUCUUCGGAAGUGAUCGUCUCUCAUUCUUGAGAAGAGGAAAUUUUAAGAUCUUAUUCACAUCUUUUUGUGUCCGCCAUUCGGUCCUUCAAAAUGGAAAGAUGAAUAGAGAGACUCCAUCUGAUGGCCAGCGCCUGAGGCAACUUCAGCACUAGAGGGCAUUGUUCGUCGCAAUGCUUCCAACAGUAACCUCCAGGCACAACCAGAAAACCAAGCGAAACAAUGGUAGCAGGACGCUACAAGAAGCGGAAGCUCAUCACAGAUAGCUGCAAAGGAAAUCGAACAACACACAGGGGAUGUUUUUUAUAGAACCCUUCAUGUCUGGCUAGAUAUCGUCUACUGUCUGGGUGUUGCUUGUUAACUCAUAGAGUUAUAUGCUUGUGCAGGCUACAGCAGAUCUAAGUUGUUUGGUUUGAAGUAGAUAUAUCUGACAAAUUUUGAUCCACAUCAGACCUUGUUUGGAUGUUAUCGAAUUUACCUCAAUCCACAUGUGUUGGUGUGGAUUUGGGUGAAAUUUAGUUCAAGUUCCACUCCAAUCCACCCCAACACAUGUGGAUUGAUACAAAUCCGACUACAUCCAAACAAGGCCUCAGUUGUAAAGGAAUCUCACCAGACAACGUUGCCUGCGAGCCUCAACCGUUUUUAUAUAUCUGGACUGGCUGGACUAGGCAAGUAACCAGGGUUACCAGCUGCAUCCAGAAACUCUACAGGCCAGGCAAUGUGUCAAGGAACCGCAACCAAACAGCUCUACAUGUAUAAGCUGAAACAAGAGUACAGGACAGUGACCCAUGAUUCGGCGAUCAUGGUGGCAGUACGAGUCGCGCUUUCACUUGUAUAUCCCACUCUCGCUGCAGUGAUUAAACUUUGGGGAGAUCACCGGCCAUAUAUUAUAAUGUAUGCCAAACACGCCCUAGCAAUAGGCAAUACAGGUAACAUGGCCAUGGUGCCGUGAGCCCGUGACCACCAGAAAUAUCUAUAGCACACUUGUGCCCUUUAUGUUGAUUGAUGCAUGGAUCUGCGUGCUAGAGGAUGCAUUCUUUAAAGUUUAAAUGUUACAUUUUGACACCACUUGCAUAGUUGCUGUACAAUAUUCAUCUGGUAUGCAUGCUACUGUUACGAUGGAUGAAUGGUCACAGCUUACUGAAGUCCACGCACUCAUUUGUUAAUCUGAAAGCUGAAAUCGGUUAAAUGGAUGAAUGGUCACAGCUAGCACAAGCUGCCGACAAAUAAUAAGCUCAGCCCUCACCCAAAUGUGACUUGUUAACCGAUUCAGAGGCAACUGAACUAUUCAAGUCAGUGUCCAGUCAAAACAGGAACGCUGGGCCAGGUAAUGCAGCUAUCAAACAUUGCCAUAAAUAAUUAACUUGAAGCAAAAGGAACAGCAGCCUGCCGAUCCCUCUCACCUGUUCAGCUUUGCGCCUUCCAUGAACAGCAGACAUGAAAUGACCGGAUCACCAUAUUUCUACUGCUGACAAGCAGAAGAAAUUGCUUCACCAUGGCUAUUCCUGGGACCGAACAUGAGCAACAAGACCCGGUCAGGUCAGAGUAGCCAAUGGAUGGCAGGAAUCUCAGAAACUAGAAAAGAUUCGAGUACUACGUAAGUAGCUAAGAAUAGACUGCAAUCCUGACCCAGGAUUACAUUCGAGCCAGUGUUGUCAACUGCUAUCCAACAAAAUCCUCAACGUGUAUGCAACUUAUGCCAAUUCGGAAGGAGUUUACAUGAAAAGUCUCAUAAGUUGGGCUUUUUAUACAAUCUUGAAAAAGGGAUAGAUCAUAAAUGCAGGAAAAAAAACUUUAGUCCCUUUCUCACUUAAUUUCAGACAUGUCAACUCAUGCAGCAACCUCCGUCUUGAAUAGUGCUUCGCUUCCACCAAGAGUCUCAUAAUCAAGGGGACUUCACUCUUGGAAAAGUAGAUUCUCAGAAGAAUAGAGGGGAAAAAACAAACUCCAGUCCAUUUCUUACUUUAUUUCAGAUAUAUAUUAAGUCAUGUAGAAACUCCCACCUUGAAUAGUUCAUUUUCAUCAUAUUAGGCUGUAAAUACUAAACAGUGUAAAGUUAAAUUUGCCCUCAGGGGCAUGUGAUCCCAUCCCAAACACAUUGGAUGUGCAUAGGAUGGGGUGCACUACAGGAGAGACAACAGUAUAUUCCAUCACUGUAGCAAGCUGCUCAAAAUCCACUACUGAACAGCUAUUCCAUCAUAACUGGUAAAGGAGGAAUGCCUCUGUCAAAUGGCAGCAAAGAUGGGAUCAAUUUCAUUCCUAUAACUUAAGUUGUACCACACAUCCAUCACUGUAGCAAGGUGGUCAAAAUCCACUACAAGUUCCAAAUGGUGUCAAUAACCAUAGUACAAAAAAUAAAACAAAGAACUUACAUGCCACAUAAAGCUAUCUCCAGAUAUAUUUAGCAUCUUAAUCCUGAUUCUCCUCAACGGAAUGCUUCAAUCAGUUCAGGAAUUAAUGUAAAGUAUGGUUAUGAAUUUCCUCCCUGAAAAUCAUAGAUCUAGUUGAAUCCUACAAGAUUUUUUUUUUAAAAAAAAAAAAGAAAUUGCAGGGAUCACGAUUCACGAGACUAUAUCAUACUUAGCUGUUUAACCAGAGAACACUGUUUGCUUGCUUUUAGCUGAAAUUUGGCACAUGCAAAGCAUGAACACUAGUUACAAACCUGCUAACUUAACAAUAUAGCCACUGAAUAAUGAUAUAUCAUAUAUGGAAAGAGAAGACUGAAACUGGGUUCUCCUAACCUUGAACUGGUGGUACACCAUCUGAUGUCAGUUCUUGACAAUAACCUUGCUGAAAGGCUGCACAUCGCAAACAUUGCUGAUGAACCUAUAUGUCGAAGGUCAUGAAAAAAUGAUUGGCUACUUAUAGUUCAUUAAUAUUGCUGGUAAAUUCACCUGCACGAAUAAACAUGUAGUAGCAAAGGAAAUGGUGUAAUGCAAUCAGACAAAGGCAAUAAAGUCAUCCUCUUCAAUGUACUGUGUAUAUGCUUGCCAAGAUAAAAACUUCUACUUUAACGAACACAGAAAUGCAGAAUGAAAUAACCUUGAACUGCAGAAAUACAAAAGUUAUGCAGAUUGUCAUUCCUUGAAGUCUCUCAGUUUGUAGGUUAAGAACAUGCAAGUUAAUUGGUGGAAUUUGCUCUGUUUUUAAUUCUCCAAGGUUCUGAAUCAAAUAUUUACAUCUUUAUUAUACCAUCAUAUUUCAAAACAGCAAAUUAUAUGACAGAAUUGGAAAAAUGACAUUCUAAACACAGUUUAGAAACAUGCCAUAGGCCCACAAGAUUUUUAGAGUGAAAUACCCAAUGUACUCCAUUCCAAAUUAUAAGACAUUUUGUCUUUUCUAGAUUCAUGGCUUCAACUAUGUAUCUAGACAUAGUGUAUAUCUAAGUGCAUAGCAAAAGUUAUGUAUCUAGAAAAGACAAAACAUCUUAUAAUUUGGAAGGGAGGGAAUAUUUUAAACAGCAAACAUUGAAAUAACAUUUAUCCAAAGUCAAAAUUGUUAGAAAAUCUCAGCUGAAACAUUCAAUUUACUAAAUACAGAAACUAGAAAAGUGUAAAUGUUACUGAAGCAUAUGUCACUCUUGUUUGCUUUAAUGAGCAUGGACUCGUUCCAUAAAAAAUGAGUAUGAACAACACUGUUGACUGUCAAAGAACUUGCAUAAACCUUGUAAAGACAGUAUCCCUCUGUUCCAAACUGUAAGUGGUUUUUGUUUGGUAGUAUAAUUAGUUUGGUCAAAUAAGUAUAACUUUGACCAAAUUUAUAGAAAAAUGCAACAACUUCUAUAGCCUCAAGUUAGUUUUGUAUAAUUCACCAUGAAAUACAUUUUGAUAGUGGUUUUAUUUGGUACCGCAGAUGUUAACAUAUUUUAAUAUAAACAUGGUCAAAGCUAGAAAAGUUAGCACAAUAUUAAAACAACCUACAAUUUGGAGCAGAGGGAGCAGUAUUAUAAGUGACUGGAGAUGUCCUGGAGCUUGGAUAAAGGAACAUGAAAUCUUAAUAAUGUAUUCGAAACACUAACUUUGCAAUUCCCAGGAUAUAAUGUUUAAGGCAAUCCCAACCUGGGAAGCGUAAUUGUCAUGGCACAAACUAACCAGUCAACAACAAUAGGCACAGAAGGAAGCAAUAUCUUUUUAUGGAUGAAUCAUUAAGCUACAAAUGUCUGCAGAUGCAUAACAAACAGAAAAAUACCAUAUAUUUACCUCAUAUAUAAUUUUUAAAUUCAGAGGGUAGAGAUAAAUAAAAACACACGAGUUUCUAAAUCAUUGUAUCCAAGAUACAAACCAGAACAGGCCCAAAAAUGUAUAAUUAAGCAUAGACACUUCUUAAAACAGAUGCAACAAAGUGAGAACGAGACUGAUGCAACCUUGUGAAGGAAUGAGGAAACUAACAUAGAAUUGUGACUAAACUGUUGCUAAACUUGCACGCAGGUCCACACACAGAGUAACUCUGACAAGAUAUUAAGGCACUCCCCAACAGAACCAUAGCUUUAAUGUAUUGAAGCAAGAAGAUAACCAAUACAGGGACUAUAUACAAGUUAAAACAAAAGUUGCUUUGAUAAUGCAGCCUGUAUAUAUCAGGGCAAGACAGGUUACUUUGACUGAAGCUCCACCUACAGACACUUAAUCAAACUGGUGUGAGCUAAAUACAUCUAGUAUACAGCAUUUACAGGACUUUCCAGGUAUCAGGUUAUCACAACUCACACGAUUCCACCAUGCCUAAAACUGCUAUCCCCUCCAUCAACACUGGAAUCCAAACCUGGUGAAUCAUACCAUUUCGGUCCAGUGUAAAAUCCCUCUACAUGAAUACCUACCAAACUUGGGUCAGUUAC
RNAcentral lists this long non-coding RNA (23295 nucleotides) under Sorghum bicolor (sorghum). Its description in RNAcentral is "long non-coding RNA (SBIC_LNC001684)". The stretch from base 18932 to 19040 matches the Rfam family "MIR5565 microRNA precursor family". The record is from RNAcentral. Lineage: Eukaryota; Viridiplantae; Streptophyta; Magnoliopsida; Poales; Poaceae.